RNAcentral lists this ribosomal RNA (396 nucleotides) under uncultured bacterium. RNAcentral describes it as "bacterial SSU rRNA". It matches the Rfam family "Bacterial small subunit ribosomal RNA", at positions 29 to 421 of the family's 1533-position model. The record is from RNAcentral.
AGUGAACGCUGGCGGCAGGCCUAACACAUGCAAGUCGAACGGCAGCACAGAGGAGCUUGCUCCUUGGUGGCGAGUGGCGGACGGGUGAGGAAUACAUCGGAAUCUGCCCAGUCGUGGGGGAUAACAUAGGGAAACUUAUGCUAAUACCGCAUACGACCUACGGGUGAAAGCGGGGGAUCGCAAGACCUCGCGCGAUUGGAUGAGCCGAUGUCCGAUUAGCUAGUUGGCGGGGUAAUGGCCCACCAAGGCGACGAUCGGUAGCUGGUCUGAGAGGAUGAUCAGCCACACUGGAACUGAGACACGGUCCAGACUCCUACGGGAGGCAGCAGUGGGGAAUAUUGGACAAUGGGCGCAAGCCUGAUCCAGCCAUGCCGCGUGGGUGAAGAAGGCCUUCGG